RNAcentral lists this ribosomal RNA (460 nucleotides) under uncultured bacterium. Its description in RNAcentral is "partial 16S ribosomal RNA". It matches the Rfam family "Bacterial small subunit ribosomal RNA", at positions 338 to 795 of the family's 1533-position model. The record is from RNAcentral.
CCUACGGGGGGCAGCAGUGAGGAAUAUUGGUCAAUGGACGAGAGUCUGAACCAGCCAAGUAGCGUGAAGGAUGACUGCCCUCUGGGUUGUAAACUUCUUUUAUAAAGGAAUAAAACGAGGCACGUGUGCCUUUUUGCAUGUACUUUAUGAAUAAGGAUCGGCUCACUCCGUGCCAGCAGCCGCGGUAAUACGGAGGAUCCGAGCGUUAUCCGGAUUUAUUGGGUUUAAAGGGAGCGUAGAUGGGUUGUUAAGUCAGUUGUGAAAGUUUGCGGCUCAACCGUAAAAGUGCAAUUGAUACUGGCAGUCGUGAGUACAGUUGAGGUAGGCGGAAUUCGUGGUGUAGCGGUGAAAUGCUUAGAUAUCACGAAGAACCCCGAUUGCGAAGGCAGCUUACUAAACUGUGACUGACAUUGAUGCUCGAAAGUGUGGGUAUCAAACAGGAUUAGAUACCCCAGUAGUC